RNAcentral lists this long non-coding RNA (4675 nucleotides) under Chlamydomonas reinhardtii. RNAcentral describes it as "long non-coding RNA (CREI_LNC000079)". The record is from RNAcentral. Lineage: Eukaryota; Viridiplantae; Chlorophyta; Chlorophyceae; Chlamydomonadales; Chlamydomonadaceae.
CGGACAUUGUAUUGCUUAAUUACCCGCAUUGCUGCGUCGCAAACGCUCUUUCAGUCAGUGCCAACGAUACUGCCCCGCGCGGUUGCGCGUUCUUACCUGCUUUCCUGCGCGAACGAAACGGCAGCCCUUAGGAUUCCUACUAAAUGUGAUUCAUAUCACCACUCGCGCACAUGUUACCAUAGGCCUACAGCUCGUCGCUGGCUGGCCUAUGUUGCUGACGCGGCUGAGUGGACCCGCGGCAGCAGGUAUGCUUCUGCGUGGUUGCAUUAAUUUAGUAUGGGACUGCGCUAGAGUGCAAGCGCGGCGCUCACGAAGCUGACCAGCCGAGGCCCGUUUGCAUGCAGGCGUGCCGGGCAUGCGCCCAACUCCGCAUGUGCGGCAUGGCGCCUGCCUUGGUUCACACCGGCAUGGAUGUGGAACGGCGAGCCACGGGCGCGCCUGGCGUGUCGCGGCCGCGUGCCACCUGCCCGAGGGGAGCGCGGGAGCCACCCCGGGAGUCGGGUGAGUCGGCGCCUGUUGCAGCGCCCACUGCUGUAACAUACUUUGCGAAUGCAUGCUCGCAAGUAACAGCACCGAAUGCACCCUGCACGCAGGUCGCCGCCUGCAGCUGCAGCAGGGCAGGUGGGAAGACCCAGGGGACAAACUUUGCAACGUUUCUCAAGAAGGGCAUGUAGUGCGCGCAGGGGUCAUUGUGAUUCGACUGCCCGAGUAUCGCCGGAUAGUCUUCGUUUUCUCCUGUCCCCAUGACCCACUCGCAGGUCGCUUGCUGCUUUUUACUCGUUGCUCACGUUGAACUUUGCAUGCAGGAUUCAGUGCAGUGCUUCACGGAGAUGCUCCGUCAGGAGCUAAACCCUGUAGAGACAAGCCUUCAAGUGGUCCGUCAGGAGCUGAGCACAAUAAAGACAAGCCUUCAAGAAAUGAAGAAAAGCCUUCACCAGAUUGAAGGAUUUAGCGCAAUACUAGUGGAGGCCGUCGCGGGCACGGCGCUGCGUGAUCGCGAGCAGAAGCAGGAGGCGGCAAGCGUGGUCCUGAAGGAUGCGGCCAGUGUGGUGAAGUGCGUGCUGCCUCCCGGGCUGCCGCCACACGUGCACGAGGUGGCGGCGGGCAAGCUGGCGGCCUGGCUGGUAGAGGAGGUAGGCCGUGUGGGGACAUAGUUGGCGGGCGGGGCGCAGGGCAUCAGUAUGCUGCCUCACCUGUCAGCAGAGCCAGGGCAUUGGCGUGCAUCUGAUGCAUGCCCCAGACGCAUGGAUGCCCGAUGGCUGCCUAGACAGCAGGCACAGUCCGUGCUGGCCGUCUCUGCCCUACCGCGCCAUGUAACAGCGCCGCACCCGCCAUGCAGGACCGGGGCCUACGCGCUAUCCUGGAGUCGGAGCUGCGUGCGGUCCCUUCCAGGCUCACCAAUAAAGCAAACGCGCAGUGGAAGGCGGCAGCGGCUAGUGCCGCCCAGGUGUGCGACUGGGGCGGGACGGGAUGAGUAGGGGGUUGCUUGCGGGCUGGGCUUGUGCUCCGUGCUGCACGCUGCUGUGCGAGCAUGUGUGCAUGGAUUCAUCAAAAGCAGUUGGCAAAAGGCCAAACGCCUGGGGCGUUGCUCCAGCGGCACAUGGCACUGCCUCUGUGGGAUUCAGCCGCGAGCCAGCCCACGCACGACAUCCUUGCCGUUGCUGGUCGUGUGUGGUCGUGCAGUGACAAAUAAACCCCUGAAGCCCCUUCUGCCAUGCUCCGUCUGAUAAUGUCGUGCGCAGGCGGCAUUGGCAGUGCUGCAAUGUGCUGCGUGUGGGCAGCAGAACUACUCGCCGGCGCUGGACGCCCUCAAGUGCUGCGCGGACCGCCUGCCUGUCUCCCUGCAGCUGCUGGAAACCUAUGCCACCAAUGACCGGGACACGGCCCUGGCGCUGAUGCGCGGCGAGCUGUGCGUGGCCGCCCUGACGGCGCUGCACCCGCUCAGCAGCGGCGAGGCCUCCUCGACCGCCACACAGCUGCAGGUGGACCGCCUGCUGCCGCUGCGCGUGUGUGCAGAGACCGGCGGCGGUAAAGGCGGCAGCAACGGUCGCAGCGGCAGCGGCAGCGGGGACGGCGAGGGCGACGGCGACGGCGACGGCAGCGGGGACGGAAGCGGGGACGGCGAGGGCGAGGGCGACGGCGGCAGCACAUCUGGGCCCCGUGUUGGACCCGGGGUCACGGCCGUGCUGGAGAUCCAGCAGAUCAAGUCCAGCAGCGCAGGUACGUGGGUGUUGCGAGUGCACUUGAAGACAUGGACCGGGCAUGCAUGGGCGGGGCGACCGUAUAUGUGGAAAGCGCACGUCCGCCCCACAGCUGGAGCGUUCCCUGGAGCGUUCCCUUGUUAACAUGCUCCCUGGCCCGGUACAACACAGGUCUUCCGACGGCGCGGGCGCAAGUGGCCCGGUGCGGCCGCAUCUUUGCGUGCGUGUAUAGCGUCCUACGGGAGCGGCUGUCGGAGGCGUUGGCCAACGCCGAGGUGCAGCUGCCGCCGGAGCUGCGGCUGCAGGCCACGAUCGCGCUCGGCCAGGACGGCGAGCCCGGAGCCAGCGAGGAGCAGCGCCCGCCGCAGCUGGAGCUGUCCACCGCCGACGGCGGCCGGACCCUGAUGCAGAUGCAGUACUUGGUCCUGGCGGCGGAGACGCUGGUGCCCUGGGUGCCGAGCCGGCAGCAGUGAGCGGGCGGGCCUCGGCCUCGGCAGUGGAUGGCUGGGGGGCACGGGACGACCAGGCAGCGGCGGUGGCACUCGGCACGCCUGCUGCAACCGUGUCACGCAGCAUACCUAGCAAUCAAGCGGCCAGCCGUUGAUGCUCACGCUGCCGCUAGCUGGACUGCGGCGCGCUGUGGCGGCGGCAGCAGCGCCGACCGGGCAGUGGGCGCUGCCCACAGCUUCUUUGGGGUGUACGGCAGCGCUGGCGGCGUGGUCCACGGUCGUGGGCGGUCGUUGGGACCGCAGACACAGCUGGCGCUGUGAUGUAGCGAUGUACACGAGGCGAGGGCCUCUGAGACCAAUCGCUGUGUUGCUUCCCCCGACAGUGCCAUGGCACGGCAGGGGCUUGAGGGUGGAGGGUAAGUGUGUGAGGAGAGCGAGGGAGUCCUUUUAUGUGCGGCACGUCUUGAAGGUGUUUGCUAGUGUAGCGGCUGGUGCGAGGGUAAGGCACGUUCGUGUUAGAUACACCGUUGACUCCAAUGUGUCUGACCCUUACUGGCGGGCGUUGUGCCACCAGGGAACCCGGGGCACCACCACAAAGGCCCCGGGAGUGCCGCCAGGAACGCAUACAUCUGUUGUUCUGGCUCAAUUUGCAAAGACAGAAUGCAGGAUUGACCUUUUAAAUGCCUGGUUUUUACUAUGGCGCUGUGUUUGUAAUGCAGUGAGGGGGUGGUGGGGUGGUCAUACUAUCUGCGUGCCCACGUUUUUGCACUGCCGGGGCUGGGUAGGGCCUGCUGGUUGCUGCGCAUGAUGCAAUGGAUGGCGGUGGAGCGCGGCGGCGGCGGCGGCGCACGGCCUGUGCCCAGCAGCGGCGGCGUGCAUGUGCGCAGCAGAGCCGGCAGGCAUGGCCACGUGGAGGAGGAGAGCGGUGCGCUGCCUGAGCAGCGGCGCCGUCGCGCAGGUUCAGAAGUGCUGGUGUCUGGUCUUUGUGGCGAGCAUAGCGUAGCGAUUUACUGCUAGGUGGUUUGUUGCGGGCUGAGCUUGUACUUGACAGCGGGGGGCGGCUCGACACAUGGCGGGUGGUGCCUGUACGAACCGACCCCGGCUUUGUCCGGGGGAUGAGGUAGUUUCGAAACCUUCGGCCUCGGACAUUGCACCAACGUGGCGUGGCCGCACAGCCCAAUUUUCCCCUGGAGACCUGCCUUGUCCGCACCCGUGGUUGUUGGCUUCCAGGAGUGGCAUGACUCCUUGGCGGGUCUACCAAGUGGAGUAGCUGCAAAGACAGCUUGUGACGGCGUUCUGCCUUUGAGAGAAGUCAGUGUUGUGCUUGAGGGGGCGAUCACUCGCAUUGCAUAGCUGAGCCGUGCUGGGCAGGCGGGCGAGGGGGAGGGGGAGGGGGAGGGGCGGUGGUGGACUGGAGGUAGGACUGGAGGUACGGGAGGAGGUAGGGCAGGCGGUAGCGGCGGUAGGGGAGGCAGGAGCGCUGGGUGGUGGAGCGCUGGCACUGGCGCAGGCGGGGGCUGUUGAGGGUCAGACCCAGGGGUGCAGGCGGCGGCAUUUUGAUUUGCGUGUCGGCACGGCGUGUUCACUUGAAUGCAGUCAGGUGGAGGCAAGGCUUGACGUGUAUUGAGUGAUUCGGUUAUGCGGACAGUCACGCGGAAACGCGGGUGUAGCGCCGAGCUGGGGGACACGAGGCGCCGAGCCGGGGGUGCGGGGCGCCAGUCCAGAGCGUGGGGGCCAUCGUCGCGAGGCCCAGGCAUCGCGGAUGAGACAGGUAAGGCCAGCACGCCAAAUAUUCUGGUGGAGCGCCGAGCGCGGACACUACAUUGCUUAAUUACCCGCAUUGCUGCGUCGCAAACGCUCUUUCAGUCAGUGCCAACGAUACUGCCCCGCGCGGUUGCGCGUUCUUACCUGCUUUCCUGCGCGAACGAAACGGCAGCCCUUAGGAUUCCUAUUAAAUGUGAUUCAUAUCACCACUCGCACAUUUUACCACAGGCCUACAGCUCGUCGCUGGCUGGCCUAUGUUGC